This 402-nucleotide ribosomal RNA is filed under the name uncultured bacterium. Its description in RNAcentral is "bacterial SSU rRNA". It matches the Rfam family "Bacterial small subunit ribosomal RNA", at positions 45 to 492 of the family's 1533-position model. The record is from RNAcentral.
CGCCUAACACAUGCAAGUCGAACGAAGUAGCAAUACUUAGUGGCAGACGGGUGAGUAACAUGUAGGUAUCUGCCCUUUGGCCUGGAAUAACACGAGGAAACUUGUGCUAAUACCGGAUAAGUCUUUACGGAGAAAGCUUUAUGCACCAUUGGAUGAGCCCGCACUUGAUUAGUUUGUUGGUAGGGUAAUGGCCUACCAAGACUAUGAUCAAUAGCUGAUUUGAGAGGAUGAUCAGCCACAUUGGGACUGAGACACGGCCCAAACUCCUACGGGAGGCAGCAGUGGGGAAUCUUGCACAAUGGAGGAAACUCUGAUGCAGCGAUGCCGCGUGAGUGAAGAAGGCCCUUGGGUUGUAAAGCUCUUUCGUCGGGGAAGAAAAUGACUGUACCCGAAUAAGAAGGU